Molecule: long non-coding RNA, 119 nt
Organism: Maniola jurtina (meadow brown)
Lineage: Eukaryota; Metazoa; Arthropoda; Insecta; Lepidoptera; Nymphalidae
Exons: 3
Source: RefSeq, a predicted model, not a curated record
CUUUGACUUUGCUUAGACUUAUGUUUCAGUUAAAACGAGACAGAUUUAUGUCAGCGAUGUAACGCUGUCUCGUUUUUACUGUGUCUUAAGUUUGAGUAAAGCGAAAGUGCGUUCUAUAU